GCGGGUGUGGUGGAACUGGUAGACACAACGGAUUUAGGUUCCGUCGCUGCAAGGCAUGGGGGUUCGAGUCCCUCCACCCGCACCA
Molecule: transfer RNA, 85 nt
Filed under: Prosthecodimorpha hirschii
Lineage: Bacteria; Pseudomonadati; Pseudomonadota; Alphaproteobacteria; Hyphomicrobiales; Ancalomicrobiaceae
Also listed under: 1 other name
Description: tRNA-Leu
Rfam family: tRNA
About the family: Transfer RNA (tRNA) molecules are approximately 80 nucleotides in length.
Source: RNAcentral